UACGUAGGGGGCAAGCGUUGUCCGGAAUUAUUGGGCGUAAAGAGCGCGUAGGCGGUCCGGUAAGUCGGCUGUGAAAGUCAAGGGCUCAACCCUUGAAAGCCGGCCGAUACUGUCGGACUAGAGUCCGGAAGAGGCGAGUGGAAUUCCCGGUGUAGCGGUGAAAUGCGUAGAUAUCGAGAGGAACACCUGCGGCGAAGGCGGGUUGCUGGGCUGACACUGACGCUGAGGCGCGAAAGCCAGGGGAGCGAACGGG
This 253-nucleotide ribosomal RNA is filed under the name uncultured bacterium. RNAcentral describes it as "partial 16S ribosomal RNA". It matches the Rfam family "Bacterial small subunit ribosomal RNA", at positions 524 to 776 of the family's 1533-position model. The record is from RNAcentral.